GGGACUGUGAUACUACACAUACGCCUAACAUAGACCCUCACAGUGCACAGGGACAUCUAAUGUCUGAAUCAGAGACUGCAGCUAAGUACAUUCCUCAGGCUAUGGCCACACAAUGUAGAUAAGAAGCGCACAAGGAAGAGGCUGGAGUGGUGCAGCCAAAGCAGCUCCUUGCGAUGUUUGUUUACUUGUAUUAUAUGUUUCCUAGCUGUUAAAGACUGGUGGGCCUGUGGGCCUGCUGUCCCCCUGUCACGGACACAGAUCCAUAGAUGACACCAUGACAAAUACGAAGCAGAUGCAGAAGGUGAUGCCAGGUCAGAAAAGAAAACUGUGUGAAAGAGCUCUUGAAUCCUGUAUUUAUUGGACUUUACAUGAAACAGAUUAUUGGAGUCAGAGUGAAUCUACAGAGUAUUUGCAACAGAAAUGUAUGUUGGGAUCUUAUUUG
Molecule: long non-coding RNA, 442 nt
Filed under: Numida meleagris (helmeted guineafowl)
Lineage: Eukaryota; Metazoa; Chordata; Aves; Galliformes; Numididae
Description: lncRNA (ENSNMEG00000012732.1)
Source: RNAcentral